Molecule: long non-coding RNA, 1593 nt
Organism: Rosa chinensis
Lineage: Eukaryota; Viridiplantae; Streptophyta; Magnoliopsida; Rosales; Rosaceae
Exons: 4
Source: RefSeq, a predicted model, not a curated record
UCUCUCUCUAGUCAACAACUUCUCAUCCAUCCACUUUCUAGGUCUCUCUUUCGAUACCCCCACCACCCGUAACCGAGCCCUAAUCAAAUCGCCGCCUUCCUCCUAAUCAAAUCGCCCAUCACUCGAACAAUUUCUGAUUCGCGUCGUUGGUGUCUGGUUUCUCAUUGGACUGCUCCUGAGGCUUGAUUGAGUCAACGAAGUGAGACGAUGGAACUCAUGCCAUGAAAAAAGUUCUCAUUCAGAAUAGUGAACAGUUGGAGUUGGUGAAGGAGGAGAUCCGAGUUUCAUCACUUUUCACUCAUCCUAAUCUUGCUUCCACUUCUUGAUCAUGCCAUUAUUUCUGUUAAGAAAUGGUACCCAUGGAGAUAGAUGAAAAGGAGACUGAUCGGUAUUUGGUGCUGUUGAAAUUUGAACUGGGAUUUCAUCGAACAGAGGGCUGACUCUUUAUCAUCUUCUGUGAUAUCUGAUCAUAGGGUUGAAUUAAUUUGUGGGUUAUCAUUUUGUAACUGCGCCUUCAUGAUACUAUAGCUUGCAUUGAGUUCAAUUAUGGAGUUUUGAAUCAUCUCAGCCUCCUUUACUUAUUUAGGUAUAAACUCUGUAUUGUUCUUUACAUGAUUUUGAUAUAGAACUAAUGUGUUUGUCGUGUUUGGGCCUUAUGAUCAUUGAACUCUGCUUUUUGAAACAUGCAGUCUCAUUGAUUGUGCUUUUGGGAAAUCAAUAUUUCCCAGGUUAUUGGGUUUUGUCGUUGAAAUUUUUGGCUUUCGGUAUCUGACAAUUUGUGUCUUUUUUAAUGUUUUGUUGGCAUGGUUUUCUGAUUUCGUUUUUUGGCUAUCUGGGAUUUGUAGGGUAGCUAGGUGGAGAUCUUCUCCUUGCAAGAGUAAAAACAGAAGGCUUUUACUUUCUCUGUGAGUAAGUUUCAGAAUUUUUGGGUCUAAUUCUGAGUUUUAUUGUAGCUUUCUGUAUAGGUGAGAGAUGAGUUUCUAUGGAGAACUUACGAAUAGGGCUGUGGAGACUGAUAUGCCAGUCAUGGUUCAGGUAUUGAGGCCAAAACUCCCACUGGGUUUUUGUUAAAGUUUUUGAAUUUAUUCUGUUAUGAGGUUCAGUUUUGGUGAGUUUUAAUAAGUUUGCUAAUGAUAAUGGUUCAAUUAGUCUUAUGAUUCAGCAUAUGUCAUGUAUAAGUCAGAUGGUAAUCCAUGCUCAAGAAUUUAAAAAAAAAACGUCAAGUUAUGUCAUGCUUGGGUGUAGAAUGGCGAGCAUCUCCAUGGUUACAGUUCUGAGGAGGUUAGGGUACAUGUAUAAUCUUCUUUGGCUUUGCAUCAACUUCUUAUACAACAGUUGGCAAACUUUUUGAGCUACAUUGUAUUGUUACAAGGUCGAGACUCAAAGGCACCUUCCUAGUCGCGAUGAGGAUGAUAAUAUUGAUGAAAUGAGCAAGAGAGGAUUAGAAAGGAUUGGAAUGUGUACUAGGAGUUUCAAAUUUUGGAUGUAAAGUAUUGUCCAGUACUUACAGAUAUUUAUUUUUUAUAUAUGAAUACUUAGUUUGUAUUAACUUUGAAAUGCAAUAUAUGACAGUUGAAUUGAAAUUUAUGUCAA